This 88-nucleotide transfer RNA is filed under the name Dysgonamonadaceae bacterium. RNAcentral describes it as "tRNA-Ser". It matches the Rfam family "tRNA". Rfam says of the family: Transfer RNA (tRNA) molecules are approximately 80 nucleotides in length. Their secondary structure includes four short double-helical elements and three loops (D, anti-codon, and T loops). Further hydrogen bonds mediate the characteristic L-shaped molecular structure. tRNAs have two regions of fundamental functional importance: the anti-codon, which is responsible for specific mRNA codon recognition, and the 3' end, to which the tRNAs corresponding amino acid is attached (by aminoacyl-tRNA synthetases). tRNAs cope with the degeneracy of the genetic code in two manners: having more than one tRNA (with a specific anti-codon) for a particular amino acid; and 'wobble' base-pairing, i.e. permitting non-standard base-pairing at the 3rd anti-codon position. Lineage: Bacteria; Pseudomonadati; Bacteroidota; Bacteroidia; Bacteroidales; Dysgonomonadaceae. The record is from RNAcentral.
GGAAAGGUGCUCGAGUGGUUGAAGAGGCACGCCUGGAAAGCGUGUAAGCCCAGAAAAGGCUUCGCAGGUUCGAAUCCUGUCCUUUCCG